This 908-nucleotide ribosomal RNA is filed under the name uncultured bacterium. RNAcentral describes it as "bacterial SSU rRNA". It matches the Rfam family "Bacterial small subunit ribosomal RNA", at positions 8 to 916 of the family's 1533-position model. The record is from RNAcentral.
AGAGUUUGAUCCUGGCUCAGAACGAACGCUGGCGGCGUGGCUAAGACAUGCAAGUCGAACGGACUAUCUUGACGAGUAAUCAGACGGAUAGUUAGUGGCGAAAGGGUGAGUAAUGGGUAGGUAACGUACCUCGCGCUUCGGGAUAGCGUCUCGAAAGGGGCGGUAAUACCGGAUGAUGUCGUUUGUCGACAGGCAGGCGAGCAAAGAUUUAUCGGCGUGAGAGCGGCCUAUCUCCUAUCAGCUUGUUGGUGAGGUAACGGCUCACCAAGGCGAAGACGGGUAGCGGGACUGAGAGGUUGGCCCGCCACAUCGGGACUGAGACACUGCCCGGACCCCCACGGGGGGCUGCAGUAACGAAUCUUGGGCAAUGAGCGAAAGCUUGACCCAGCGACGCCGCGUGUAGGAGGAAGUCCUUCGGGAUGUAAACUACUGUCAGGGGUAAGAAAGUGCGCUUCGGCGCAUUGAUCUAACCCAGAGGAAGUCACGGCUAACUUCGUGCCAGCAGCCGCGGUAAGACGAAGGUGGCAAGCGUUGUUCGGUAUCACUGGGCUUAAAGCGUGUGUAGGCGGAAGCGUAAGCGUUUUGUGAAAUCCCUCGGCUUAACCGAGGAAUUGCUUGACGAACUGCGCUUCUUGAGGCAGGUAGGGGUGCACGGAACUCUUGGUGGAGCGGUGGAAUGCGUAGAUAUCAAGAGGAACGCCGGUGGAGAAGUCGGUGCACUGGGCCUGUCCUGACGCUGAGACACGAAAGCGUGGGGAGCGAACGGGGUUAGAUACCCCGGUAGUCCACGCCGUAAACGAUGUCUACUAGGUUGUGGCGGUUCUGACGCCGGCACAGCCGAAGCAAAAGUGUUAAGUAGACCGCCUGGGGAGUACGGUCGCAAGGCUAAAACUCAAAGGAAUUGACGG